CAACGUUCUUUGGAGAACCUUAGGGUUCUUUUCUCUGAAAAUGCCCACCAAAAGGUUGUUCCAAGAACAUCAUAGGAGGUGGUGUUCAUCAAAGGAACCUCCUUAGUUGGUGGGGGUUCUUGCAAGAACCUAACUGCCCAACUGAAACAUUUGGAUUUGAAAGGACAGCAGGUGCAGGCACUUAAUUGAAAAAAUGGAAAGGUAUAAAGACAAGGAGGCAUACAAUGGUAUGUCAAUUGGUAUUGGCAUGUUAUGCAGAUCACAUUUACCUCCCUUACCUCUUCAAUGAAUAUCCCAUAGGCCUCUACAUUAUGGAUAAGACUUCACCCUCCCAACACCUCUGAUGAAUAUAACAGGAAACCUGUUCGAUCACCAUUCACUGCAAAAACAUUCUGGCUAUGGAUACGGAC
Molecule: long non-coding RNA, 410 nt
Filed under: Salmo salar (Atlantic salmon)
Lineage: Eukaryota; Metazoa; Chordata; Actinopteri; Salmoniformes; Salmonidae
Description: lncRNA (ENSSSAG00000110561.1)
Source: RNAcentral